Molecule: ribosomal RNA, 496 nt
Filed under: uncultured bacterium
Lineage: Bacteria
Description: partial 16S ribosomal RNA
Rfam family: Bacterial small subunit ribosomal RNA
Source: RNAcentral
AUGAACGCUGGCGGCGUGCCUAAUACAUGCAGGUCGAGCGAACAGACGAGGAGCUUGCUCCUCUGACGUUAGCGGCGGACGGGUGAGUAACACGUGGAUAACCUACCUAUAAGACUGGGAUAACUUCGGGAAACCGGAGCUAAUACCGGAUAAUAUAUUGAACCGCAUGGUUCAAUAGUGAAAGACGGUUUUGCUGUCACUUAUAGAUGGAUCCGCGCCGCAUUAGCUAGUUGGUAAGGUAACGGCUUACCAAGGCAACGAUGCGUAGCCGACCUGAGAGGGUGAUCGGCUACACUGGAACUGAGACACGGUCCAGACUCCUACGGGAGGCAGCAGUAGGGAAUCUUCCGCAAUGGGCGAAAGCCUGACGGAGCAACGCCGCGUGAGUGAUGAAGGUCUUCGGAUCGUAAAACUCUGUUAUUAGGGAAGAACAAAUGUGUAAGUAACUAUGCACGUCUUGACGGUACCUAAUCAGAAAGCCACGGCUAACUACGUG